UCUCAGGUAGAGGCAAUAUGCACUCUUUAUUGCUUUAAUGGCUUGGCAUUUUUCAGCAGCAAGCCAAGAAGUGAAAAACAGGUAGAGAGAAAAUUUAGCAGAGAGAACAGAGAGAGCAGGAAAGACACGGUUUUGAAAUCAAACCGUAGAGUUUUCUUUGUUUGUUCAGUUUGUUCAAAGGUUGAGGCAAAAUAUGCACUCUUUAUUGCUUUAUUGGCUUGUGCAUUUCUCAGCAGCAAGCCAAAGAGUGAAAAACAGGUAGAGAGAAAAUUUAGCAGAGAGAACAGACAGAGCAGGAGAGACACGGUUUUGAAAUCAAACCGCAAUAAGAUUCUUGGUUUGGCAAAAUUUCUCACAAACCACAGGGUGAAAUACAGAUGGAAAGAAGGCAGAGACAACAGGUGGAGCAGGACAGAGGAUAGAGGGGAUGGGGGGUUGGGAUGUGACAGAGAAGACUGGAGAUCUGGUCCUUGUUCUUCUGCACACUGUGAACAAAAAAGAAGAAAAAAAUAAUAAUUUUAUUAAAAUUAUAUCACAUGGUAAUUGUAUGAACUAAUUGUGACUACUGAAAAAGGACAAAACAAAUAUUGAAGCUAAACUGUUGUUGGCUGCCAUGUGCAAAAAGUUGCAUAAUUGGGCACUUUUUAAAAGAAUAUUUAUUUAAAUUCAGCAAUAAUAUUUUUAAUACAAAUAUGAUUGAGUGAAUCAUUA
Molecule: long non-coding RNA, 711 nt
Organism: Oreochromis aureus
Lineage: Eukaryota; Metazoa; Chordata; Actinopteri; Cichliformes; Cichlidae
Source: Ensembl